RNAcentral lists this ribosomal RNA (1372 nucleotides) under uncultured bacterium. Its description in RNAcentral is "bacterial SSU rRNA". It matches the Rfam family "Bacterial small subunit ribosomal RNA", at positions 28 to 1381 of the family's 1533-position model. The record is from RNAcentral.
GAUGAACGCUGGCGGCGUGCCUAAUACAUGCAAGUCGAGCGAACGGACGAGAAGCUUGCUUCUCUGAUGUUAGCGGCGGACGGGUGAGUAACACGUGGAUAACCUACCUAUAAGACUGGGAUAACUUCGGGAAACCGGAGCUAAUACCGGAUAAUAUUUUGAACCGCAUGGUUCAAAAGUGAAAGACGGUCUUGCUGUCACUUAUAGAUGGAUCCGCGCUGCAUUAGCUAGUUGGUAAGGUAACGGCUUACCAAGGCAACGAUGCAUAGCCGACCUGAGAGGGUGAUCGGCCACACUGGAACUGAGACACGGGCCAGACUCCUACGGGAGGCAGCAGUAGGGAAUCUUCCGCAAUGGGCGAAAGCCUGACGGAGCAACGCCGCGUGAGUGAUGAAGGUCUUCGGAUCGUAAAACUCUGUUAUUAGGGAAGAACAUAUGUGUAAGUAACUGUGCACAUCUUGACGGUACCUAAUCAGAAAGCCACGGCUAACUACGUGCCAGCAGCCGCGGUAAUACGUAGGUGGCAAGCGUUAUCCGGAAUUAUUGGGCGUAAAGCGCGCGUAGGCGGUUUUUUAAGUCUGAUGUGAAAGCCCACGGCUCAACCGUGGAGGGUCAUUGGAAACUGGAAAACUUGAGUGCAGAAGAGGAAAGUGGAAUUCCAUGUGUAGCGGUGAAAUGCGCAGAGAUAUGGAGGAACACCAGUGGCGAAGGCGACUUUCUGGUCUGUAACUGACGCUGAUGUGCGAAAGCGUGGGGAUCAAACAGGAUUAGAUACCCUGGUAGUCCACGCCGUAAACGAUGAGUGCUAAGUGUUAGGGGGUUUCCGCCCCUUAGUGCUGCAGCUAACGCAUUAAGCACUCCGCCUGGGGAGUACGACCGCAAGGUUGAAACUCAAAGGAAUUGACGGGGACCCGCACAAGCGGUGGAGCAUGUGGUUUAAUUCGAAGCAACGCGAAGAACCUUACCAAAUCUUGACAUCCUUUGACAACUCUAGAGAUAGAGCCUUCCCCUUCGGGGGACAAAGUGACAGGUGGUGCAUGGUUGUCGUCAGCUCGUGUCGUGAGAUGUUGGGUUAAGUCCCGCAACGAGCGCAACCCUUAAGCUUAGUUGCCAUCAUUAAGUUGGGCACUCUAAGUUGACUGCCGGUGACAAACCGGAGGAAGGUGGGGAUGACGUCAAAUCAUCAUGCCCCUUAUGAUUUGGGCUACACACGUGCUACAAUGGACAAUACAAAGGGCAGCGAAACCGCGAGGUCAAGCAAAUCCCAUAAAGUUGUUCUCAGUUCGGAUUGUAGUCUGCAACUCGACUACAUGAAGCUGGAAUCGCUAGUAAUCGUAGAUCAGCAUGCUACGGUGAAUACGUUCCCGGGUCU